ACGCACCGGAUUGUGGCUCCGGCAUUCGUGGGUUCGAUUCCCAUCAGUCGCCCCA
This 55-nucleotide transfer RNA is filed under the name Bacillus anthracis (anthrax bacterium). RNAcentral describes it as "tRNA-Ser". It matches the Rfam family "tRNA", at positions 21 to 71 of the family's 71-position model. Rfam says of the family: Transfer RNA (tRNA) molecules are approximately 80 nucleotides in length. Their secondary structure includes four short double-helical elements and three loops (D, anti-codon, and T loops). Lineage: Bacteria; Bacillati; Bacillota; Bacilli; Caryophanales; Bacillaceae. The record is from RNAcentral.